GACUGGUCCAAUCUCAUGGAUCAUGUCCGAGGUGGUGGUGGACCUGCCAUGCCGCUGGAAGGCUUGUCUGUUGCACUGUCUGGUGAGUGAAGAGGCUCCCAUCGCUGCUACCACCGACGGGUUCACACUGCAGUAAGCAACAUGUCCUAUCGGGUUUAUGGAGCACCCACCCAGUGAUCAGUCCUGUCUGAGAGGCUGUGUGGGCCCAAUGUGCCAAUACACCAGCAGCUCCAGACAGAAGAUCACCUUGUCCUCCGCAUCGCCUCCCACUGCCUUCUGUACUGCACAUAACCACUGCAAUAAAAAAAAAACAAGGUGACACAUCACUGACAAAACACUCAUCCAACGGUAGGCUCAACACACACCUGUGCUACCAUCCGCAAUGAGAUCCUUUUCUCCUUUAAGUAGAACGGUAAUGUUGCCCAUGGUUUCGCUUAGCUGCAGGACGCUACUACGGUGAUCAACGCUGUCCACGGCCUUGUGUUGCUGAGAUGACAACACGCAGAUGGGAUUAAAACACUUGUGGCGCCGACUUGAAUUUGUCACUUGGCAAGAAACCCACCAGCGUAUCGUACAGUCGCGUGAACUCCAUGAAGUUGGGCGUGAUGAUGCCCUUCUGGUAGCCAUGAAUAACAGACGGCUGCUUUGUGACCAGCCAUAAACCGUCCUGGAGAAGGCAAACAAAAGAAAAAGUCACUAUGACUUUUGUAAACGCAAGAUAAAGUUGACCUAGACAAAUACUCACUGCAUCGAUGAUGAUUGGAAUAUCUCUUGCUUUGGAUUUCUCUAUCACCUCCUACAAGGAAGAACUACAUUAUUUGAGGAAACAUACUGUUGAUACACUUGGUGCACUAAAUAGUUGUCCUCUUAUACAAAACAUAAUUUAAAUGCAUCUCGUUAAUAUAUAAGCAGGUUUAAAAUUUGACACAGUAGCAUAGAAUGUAAACUUUCUGAAGGAGCAUUAUAAUCAAACGGUUUGUAGUAUAAUUUUAGGAGGCAAACAAAUUUAGCACAUUUGGUAGUUUAUAUAGCACAACAAAAAUCCUCCUCUUCCUUUUGUCAAUAAGUUGAAAGGUUAAUACAAUUAAUUUACCAGCUCAUCAAUGACUUCCCUAUUAAUUUAAAUGAGGAUGAACUUCCCAUUAUUGAAAAAGGUCACAAUCGGUAACCACUUCAUUUCUAAAAUUAUGAGCACACCUCUAGUGUAGCAUAUUUACAUUUUUAGAAUGGUCUGUAUUUAAGAUUUACAGCAUUUUUUUUAAAAAAUGUGUGUUUUUCAAGUCAAAUCCUUUUUUUCUGCAGUCACAUUAGCAGAUAUGUGAUGCAUAUCAAAUUUUUUAUCCACAAUAGAAGAGAAUCGGAUCUGAUGAUAUCCAAUUCCAUGCAGAGUUUUUUUUGCCUAUGAUGCCAUGCCAUGAUGCAUAUUCGUAUUGUGUCACUUGAGAGAGAGAGGAAAAAAAUCAUAAUUGCAUUACUUAAAGCAUGGUGAGUAUAUUCAACCUAUGUAACAGAAUCCCCAGCAAGUAAAAAUGUUAAUGUUAACAUCCUCAAGGAGCUCUUAGUUCAGUGUUUGCGUUAAAUGCAUGCGACUAUACAAUACGUGCCUUGGCUGUUUUUAAUAAAAAGUCCUCUCUGCCCAGACCAGGUCCCACCACAAGGCUGUGCAGUCUCGGGAGCCAUUUUUCGAUCUCCUCCACCGCGUUUGGGCUGUCCCUUUUCAAGGACAUCGCCUGUCCAAGGAAUUUAAUAUUAGCCUUCAUACUUCCACACAUACCCUAUCUGGAUUGAUAUUUGUUGAAUGCUUUCUUCAUGAAAGUGAUAUGACGAAUUUUCUGUCAACAAACUGCGGUUAUUUCUUAACACCUCCCAAAGUAGAUUGGCACCUGUGAACAAUGGAAUGCCAUCAGUAAGGCAAUUUAAUCUUAUUUUUGACAAACUAGGGAGAAUUAACAUUAAUUUAUGUCCAUGAGUAAUCUGAACCACUUAACCCAAUUAGAGU
Molecule: long non-coding RNA, 1999 nt
Organism: Syngnathus acus (greater pipefish)
Lineage: Eukaryota; Metazoa; Chordata; Actinopteri; Syngnathiformes; Syngnathidae
Exons: 3
Source: RefSeq, a predicted model, not a curated record